RNAcentral lists this unclassified non-coding RNA (359 nucleotides) under soil metagenome. Its description in RNAcentral is "partial contains 5.8S ribosomal RNA, internal transcribed spacer 2, and large subunit ribosomal RNA". The stretch from base 1 to 121 matches the Rfam family "5.8S ribosomal RNA", at positions 35 to 154 of the family's 154-position model. The record is from RNAcentral.
GAUGAAGAACGUAGCGAAAUGCGAUAAGUAAUGCGAAUUGCAGAAUUUCCGUGAGUCAUCGAAUCUUUGAACGCACAUUGCGCCCACUGGUAUUCCGGUGGGCAUGCCUGUUCGAGCGUCAUUACGCCCCUCAAGUCCCCUGUGGACUUGGUGUUGGGGAUCGGCGAGGCUGGUUUUCCAGCACAGCCGUCCCUUAAAUUAAUUGGCGGUCUCGCCGUGGCCCUCCUCUGCGCAGUAGUAAAACACUCGCAACAGGAGCCCGGCGCGGUCCACUGCCGUAAAACCCCCCAACUUUUUAUAGUUGACCUCGAAUCAGGUAGGACUACCCGCUGAACUUAAGCAUAUCAAUAAGCGGAGGA